Molecule: non-coding RNA, 138 nt
Organism: Hordeum vulgare subsp. vulgare (domesticated barley)
Lineage: Eukaryota; Viridiplantae; Streptophyta; Magnoliopsida; Poales; Poaceae
Source: Rfam
UUAGUACUCCCUCCGUUCCAAAAUUCCUGUCCUUAAUUUGUCUAGAUAUAAAUAUAUCUAGUCAUGUAUUAGUAUUUAGAUACAUUCAUUUUUCUAGAUAAAACUAAGACGAGAAUUUUGAGACAAAGUGAGUACUAA